AGAGUUUGAUCCUGGCUCAGGACGAACGCUGGCGGCGUGCUUAACACAUGCAAGUCGAACGGAAAGGUCUCUUCGGAGAUACUCGAGUGGCGAACGGGUGAGUAACACGUGGGUGAUCUGCCCUGCACUUCGGGAUAAGCCUGGGAAACUGGGUCUAAUACCGGAUAGGACCACGGGAUGCAUGUCUUGUGGUGGAAAGCGCUUUAGCGGUGUGGGAUGAGCCCGCGGCCUAUCAGCUUGUUGGUGGGGUGACGGCCUACCAAGGCGACGACGGGUAGCCGGCCUGAGAGGGUGUCCGGCCACACUGGGACUGAGAUACGGCCCAGACUCCUACGGGAGGCAGCAGUGGGGAAUAUUGCACAAUGGGCGCAAGCCUGAUGCAGCGACGCCGCGUGGGGGAUGACGGCCUUCGGGUUGUAAACCUCUUUCACCAUCGACGAAGGUCCGGGUUCUCUCGGAUUGACGGUAGGUGGAGAAGAAGCACCGGCCAACUACGUGCCAGCAGCCGCGGUAAUACGUAGGGUGCGAGCGUUGUCCGGAAUUACUGGGCGUAAAGAGCUCGUAGGUGGUUUGUCGCGUUGUUCGUGAAAUCUCACGGCUUAACUGUGAGCGUGCGGGCGAUACGGGCAGACUAGAGUACUGCAGGGGAGACUGGAAUUCCUGGUGUAGCGGUGGAAUGCGCAGAUAUCAGGAGGAACACCGGUGGCGAAGGCGGGUCUCUGGGCAGUAACUGACGCUGAGGAGCGAAAGCGUGGGGAGCGAACAGGAUUAGAUACCCUGGUAGUCCACGCCGUAAACGGUGGGUACUAGGUGUGGGUUUCCUUCCUUGGGAUCCGUGCCGUAGCUAACGCAUUAAGUACCC
This 862-nucleotide ribosomal RNA is filed under the name Mycobacterium tuberculosis. Its description in RNAcentral is "bacterial SSU rRNA". It matches the Rfam family "Bacterial small subunit ribosomal RNA", at positions 8 to 869 of the family's 1533-position model. The record is from RNAcentral. Lineage: Bacteria; Bacillati; Actinomycetota; Actinomycetes; Mycobacteriales; Mycobacteriaceae.